Solanum dulcamara is the source of this 1072-nucleotide long non-coding RNA. RefSeq lists it as uncharacterized. The record is from RefSeq and is a predicted model, not a curated record. Lineage: Eukaryota; Viridiplantae; Streptophyta; Magnoliopsida; Solanales; Solanaceae. The transcript is spliced from 3 exons.
ACAUUAGGACAAUUUGGGGAUAAUGGUAAUAAGUCAAGGGCAAGGCUAUGGUUGACCUUGUUGGAUACAAAAUUCUUAUGACUAAAUUGAAAUGUGGAAAUAUUGGAAAUUUAUUAAGGGUAAAAAUUGAAAUUUCUCAUGUGGAAAUACCAUAAAAGAUUAAGGACAAAAUUGGAAUUACUCAUGUGGAAAUACCAUAAAAGGUUAGGGGUAAAAUUGGAAUUUCACAUGUGGAAAUACCAUAAAAGGUUAGGGAUAAAAUUGGAAUUUCACAUGUGGAAAUACUAUAAAAGGUUAAGGGCAAAGGUGGAAUUUCAACUUGGAAAUAUUAGGAAAGGUGAGGGGCAAAAUGGAAAUUUCACAUGGGAGCCUUAGUCAUAAAAUCCUAGAAUUCUCUACACAAUUUGAGAAAGAAGAAGAGCAAAGGAAAGAAGAGAAAUCAAGAGAGAAAAUCGGACAAGAAGACCAAAAAAUUACCCCUUCAAAUUUCAUCCCAAAAAUUAUAAUUUUCUAGUAUUCCUACUAAGUCAAGGGUGCUCUACAACAUGGUGUAGUUUUUUUGGAAGAUAGGAGGCUUGUUUGGUUGAUUUGAAGCUUUGGUAAAGUGAAGAAGUUGGAAGGAAAAGGGGAGAUGCUGCCGAAAUUUUUGUAGACAAGUAUUGGAAAAAUUGAGUUCUUAAAGUCUUAUGAAUAGUAAUUGGUAAAUGUGACCAAUUGUAGAUUUUGGAGGAAACGGGAAUUGAAUUUGGACAACCGUAAAACGUCAAAAAGGUACCGAAGUUCGAUUUGCUGAUCCACCUGUUUAGGAUAUUUGCUGCGUCGUUGAUAGUGCUCCCUUGUUCGGAGCUUGUAUUUUGGUACUGACUUUAUCUCUGUAUAUUUAGAUAUGUUGGUCAGGGGUACGACGGGGCCCUAUCCCGUCGUAUGACUAUGCUAUCAUCUGUAGAGGUCUGUAGACAGAGUUAUGUUGUGGGUUUUGUAUAUAUGGUUUGGAUUUUUGUGUGUUUUGUGACAACCUUUCAACUCUCGUGCGUAUAUCUACUUUUAUGAUAUAUUUAGCAAUUUCUACUAA